GAUGAACGCUGGCGGCGUGCCUAAUACAUGCAAGUCGAGCGAACAGAUCCGGAUCUUGCUCCUUUGACGUUCGCGGCGGUCAGUUGCGUAACACGUGCCUACCCUACCUAUUAGACUGGGAUCACUUCGCGAAACCAGAUCUAAUACCGGAUAACAUAUUGAACCGCAUGGUUCAAUAGUUAAAGGCGGCUUUGCUGUCACUUAUAGAUGGUUCCGCGCCGUAUUGGCUAGUUGGUAAGGUAACGGCUUACCAAGGCCACGAUACGUAGACGACCGGAGCGAGGGAUCGGCGACACGAGAACGGAGACACGGACCAGACGACUACGGGAGGCAGCAGUAGGGAAUGGUACGCAAUAGGCGAGAGCCUGACGGAGCAACGCCGCGUGAGUGAUGAAGGUCUUGGGAGCGUAAUACCCGGUUAUCAGGGAAGAACAAAUGUGGAAGUAACCGUGGAGAUAGUGACGGUACUGGAUAAGAAAGCCACGGCUAACUACGUG
Molecule: ribosomal RNA, 497 nt
Filed under: uncultured bacterium
Lineage: Bacteria
Description: partial 16S ribosomal RNA
Rfam family: Bacterial small subunit ribosomal RNA
Source: RNAcentral